GGUAGUCGCACGAGCGCACCCUUGUCCUUAGUUGCCAGCAUUUAGUUGGGGACUCUAAAGGGACUGCCCAGGAUAACUCGGAGGAAGGGGGGGAUGACGUCAAAUCAUCAUGCCCCUUUUGCUUAGGGCUACACACGUGCUACAAUGGGGGGUACACAGGGUUGCCAAACCGCGAGGUGGAGCUAAUCCCUUAAAGCCAUUCUCAGUUCGGAUUGUAGGCUGAAACUCGCCUACAUGAAGCUGGAGUUACUAGUAAUCGCAGAUCACAAUGCUGCGGUGAAUACGUUCCCGGGGCUUGUAACAC
RNAcentral lists this ribosomal RNA (304 nucleotides) under uncultured bacterium. RNAcentral's name for it is "bacterial SSU rRNA". It matches the Rfam family "Bacterial small subunit ribosomal RNA", at positions 1083 to 1385 of the family's 1533-position model. The record is from RNAcentral.